GGAAACUCUCUUAGAUCUCACUAAAAAGCCAUGAAUUUCUCUCCACCAUCACCACCGACACAACAACAGCUAUCGACACCACCGCCGACCUAGCCUCAAACACCUUUACAGCCGCAAACACCACCACCACCACCGCAGCAGCAACCUUGAAUAGAAGUGCCACCAAAGUGCACCCAGCAACCAAAAUCCUCCCCAAACCCAACCACCCCUUUCGCCAUCGAAUUCAAAGACAAAGACGUCACUCCCACAACAACUAUCUCCUUUUGCCUUACUAAACCUAAAUUUGUCUACGUUCCCAACUAUUCUCGUAAGUCCCCUUCUAAUUUUCAACUUAUAUUUUUGUAUUUUAGGGAGGAAUUGAUAUAAAUAAUUCAUGUAAUUGAUUAAUUGAUAUUUGGUGUUGCUCUUUUAGGUUGGUUUUCGUGAAAUAGCAUUCAUGAAUGUGAGGUUUGCUUUUUUCCUGAAUUCUUUGAUGGAAGGUCACCUUGUAAGAAUCCUAAGACAUACAAAUACUAUAGUAAUACCAUUAUUCGUAGAUUCAGCGAUAACCCCACUAAAAAAUUACCUUUACUAAGGUUCGCAAGACCAUUGUUGGAGACGUGGGUUCAUUUCGUGAAGUUUUUGAUUUCUUAGAGACAUGGGGUUUGAUUUUUAGCAUUUUUAUUAAUUUGAAGUUGGAUUAUUGAAAUUACACACCACAUGUUUGUUGAAUGUAAGUAUAGUAUUGCAAAAAUCUACAUCAUCUAUUUCAAUUUGUUUGUUCGGUGUUGACUUUUCACAUAGUUUAAGAAAGUCAUGUUAUGAAUUAUUAGUGCCAUCUCUUUCUUUUCUUCCUCGGUUCUGUGUUUUCGGAAAUUAAUGGUAUAGUGAUGCUGUUAAAUUAACCAAGGGACUAGAAUACCUCUAUGAGAGCUGUAAUCCCCUAUAAUCCAUAGAGAUCUCAAAUCAUCUAAUAUUCUACUAGAUUCUGACUUCAGUGCAAAGGUAAAUUAGCAAUAUAACAACAUAGCUCUCACUCAUUUGCUUUUCCUUUGUAAGCAUUUCAUAUGGUUUAUCUUGUCUGAGUUGGUUAACUUUUACUUUGAUUAACUUUCUGAUUUUGGCCUUGGUAUUGCGGGAUGGAAUUGAACAAGAGAAAUGUAAAGUAAGAGCAACUAUUAUUUGAGUGACUAAACGAGAAAUCUACCCAUAUUAAAAUUGUUUAGUUGACGCGAAAAUAGUAAAUGCAUAGAGUAUUGAUAAUUAUAGUAUUUCAUCUGUAUUCUGCCUUUUACCAGGUUUGUCAUUGCUAUUUUAGUGACCGUAGUGUAAUGGAGAGAGAGAUAAAAGAUGGAAUAUGUUGAAUGAAGAAUAUUAAUAGUAGUCUAUUUUUGAGGUUCUGAUCGAUCAGUACUAAUUAAUUAGUACGUAUAUAUAUAUGAUCAUUCUUGAUUAUCACAACUAUGCAUUUGUUAUAAUUAAAAGGUUAAUGGAUGCAAAAGAUUGGUGAUUAAUUUAGAGUUGGGAGGGAUUAAAAUCAUAUGAAAAUAUGUAGUACACUACAGAAGGAUUGCACUAUUUAAUUUGUACCCAUUAUUAAGGACUUUCUACACCUUUUGAUGUCUUUUUGUGUCAUGCAUGAUGACUUGAUAAGUCCCAAACUACAUUGUGACAACACCCUUUCAUUUAGUUGGUAAGACAAGUCGAUAAGUUUUGAUCCGAGAUCCCUUUUAUUGAAAAAAAUAGUUAUAUUUGAGAAAAAUUUGUUUGUUACUUGCCUAGUUUCUUCUGUCCAUUAUCAAGAAAUUAACUUUUCACAAUACCACCUAAAUAACUAUGAUCAUGGAGUUAAUAAGUUGGGUAGAAAGAGCCUGAGGUGCGGCCAGUGUCAUCAUACAUACAUCUUGCUACCUUUGGAGAUAUACUUAUGGACAUGAGGACAUUUAUUUAAUCUUGCUCAUUGUGAAUGCUAACUUUUGAAUUCUCAGUAAUUAUCUAUUUUGAAAUGAUAAGGGUUAUGUUAUUAGGAGCGUCAUCUUGGUGAUGUGAACAAGCAGCUGAAGAUUAAG
Molecule: long non-coding RNA, 2048 nt
Filed under: Capsicum annuum
Lineage: Eukaryota; Viridiplantae; Streptophyta; Magnoliopsida; Solanales; Solanaceae
Description: long non-coding RNA (CANN_LNC017033)
Source: RNAcentral